GGAAAAGCAAGUUCAUUUGAGAUAGCUGACUACAGGAAAGAACUACAAAUACUCUAAAACUACAAACCUACACAAAAGGUCAAAGAAGCUUUUUCUAGCAAGUCGUACACUUUCAAAUUAAAUCUCUACUGAUGAAGAGCUUGGAUGAUAAAAGGUAGGAGUAUAGAAGCCAAUAUCAAAUUAAUUAACAAUAGAGGGUAUGCAUAGACAUCACUUUCCCGCCGGAACGCGCUCCCUCAGCUGGACUGAGUGGCAAAAGAACCUGCUGCAUGACUGGAUUUAAUAGGGGAAACUGCAAAAAUGCGAGUAAAACAAACAAUUACACUAAAGGUUGGGCUCGAAAGUGUUCCUUAUGAUAUGUCAAAGAAAUCUAAUUCAUGGAUAUUGGCAUGCAGCCAGGAAUCGUGUUUCCUGACAUUUAUAUGUGCCUGAUUUUGACGCCGGGGAAAUACAUAAAGCAAAUCUUCCUGUGAAUAUUUUAUAUAACUACAAUAUAGGUAGGUUUAAAUCUGAGUAAUCACUUAUAUCAAUGUUAUAUAUAUCGUCAUAUCGUCCAGCACUAAAACUUGUAUAGUUUUUGUCAGUGUUUAUUUAAAAACACCCAAUUAUGCAGAAUAUAAGAUGGUAAAUAUUUAAUUGAUGAGUUGUCAACACAAUAUAUUACAAUACAAUAUAUAUGGUAUGAUUUUACCUCAAAAUCAAACAUUUUGACACAAAAUGAUAACUACAAAUCCAUGUUUCUCUGCCUGGAAUCCAGUUGUUAUGUGAAUUGCAGCAAUCCAUUUGCUUAUUUUUUCUGUAGCUUUCGACAGUCUUUAAAUAUAUACCUCAGAUUUUGUGUCAAAGCUAUUUGUACAGUCAAUCACAAAGCUCUUUCCCGUUUUGGAUGUGUUUUGUGUGUAUUUCACAGCAUUCACGCUGAAAACCAAUGCUGCCACUCAGUCUUUUGCCACUCAGUGGGUGUAACCGCAGUCAUAACGGUCGAAGGUGACGUCACGUGCAUACCCUCUAUUGUAUUAGCUUUAGCAUUAGCCAUUUUAAAUGAGAGAAGAAUUUGCACCACAAUACAAUAAAGUUUAAUUUGGUGCACGGCCAUCAAGGUCAACAAUAAAAGAUAUGAAAUGUCACAAUGUCAAAAGAGGUUAAUCAUUACCAUCAUCACUCGUGUGUGCAGGUGAGGGGCCUGUGGCUAAAGGAAAAAGCAAGUUCAUUUUAGAUAGUCAACUACAGGAUAUAAAUACAAACACUAUAAACUUAUACAAAAGACCAAAGAAGCAAUUUUCUCUAGCAAGCUGCACACUUUCUAAUUAGACCUCGGUUGAUGAAGCCAAUAUCUUACAUGCUAAAAGGUAGAAGUAGAGGCCAAUCUCAGUUUUCACUAUAACAGCACAACAUUUGAAACAUACACUAAAACCUAUUUUAGAAAAUAAUUCCUGGAUGGUAUACGGCAUUUGUAAAACUAGCAAUGACAAUCUUUUCAAUUCUUUACCAAUGCAGACUGCAUUUGACAGCUUAGUACAAAGCAUUUAACAAAACAAAUGUCACAUGUACAUGUCAACUUUUUGUGCUAACCCUAACACCUAACAGUCUACUAAAACUCUAAUAAGAGUUAGUUGACUUCUAGGUGCAACAUUACUUAUAGUCAACAGAGAAUGUCUAAAGGGGACCAUCAAAAUGAAGUGUGACCAAACAAUGAAGUGAGAAAAAGUUAGCUGACAACUGAAAAGAUAUUUAAUUUAGAAACAAGUUAACUAUGGCACACCGAAACACUCACGCAGUAUAUUCAGCAGUUCAAUUCUUUGAAACCCAUGUGAAACACGGGCUCCUUGUAAAACCAUCAGCUUUGGUCAGAAAAAGGGAAGGGAGUUACUAGCAGUGGUCUGUAUGUGGCGCGACCCGGCUGCCAUGGAAACGCAGAGCGCACGCAAACAAUUUCAGUUUCUCAACCACAGCUUCCUGUAGCUUAACAAAACCCUUCCCCCAUUCUCAAGGCUCAGGCACUUUGCUUUCUUUUUUAUUCUGUUCGCCAGUUUGUGUCACUCAUAUACAGUGCAUGUGCGGAAGGGGGAGGGGUCAGAUGAACUUGUGGGGGUGGGGGAUAGAUAAUAAGAUAUCUAUAGAUAUGCAAAUUAUAUCUAUGCAACUACUUAUCUUUUACAUGGGAGCUUUGACUACAUCAUUAUGUAAGUCGACUAAGUAGGUAGUGCAGUUUCAUUAAUAAUCAAUGCAUUCAUCUAAUGCAAUGUCAAAUCUGGUGAUUUUUAACCCUAAUAUAUAUCAUUUUUAGCAUUCUGAAAACUUCUUAAUAUCUUUCCUUAACUUUUAGUAACUGGCGUUUUAACUCAAGUGUCAGAGUAAGCAGUACUUUUUCACUUAUUUUCUUUGCCGGAUGUGGUUUUGCUCGACUUGGUUCACAACUUGAGGUGCGUGCGUUCUGAGCGUGGCUGUUUUAGCAGGUCCACCCAUUACAUGGAACAUGACAGCAUGAGAAUGAUGACUUUAAAUUGCCUGUUUUAUGUGUCUCAUUUUAGAGGAUUCCUUUUAAAAACAUUAUAUUUUAAUUUUACUGCCUUGUCAAACAGAUCACAGUGACCGCAGUGAAGUUUGCAUAAACCUAAAUCUCCUGCAAGUUAUUUAAAGUAUUAUCUAAACCUCCAAAUUGCACUAUAUCCACAAACAUGGACUUUUAAAACAAUGUACAGUACUGUGCAAAAUUCUUAGGCCACCAUUACAUGUUGUUUUAGCAAUGAUAUAAUGUCCAUAUAUAAUUAUAAUUAAGUCUCUUUAUUACAAUAUAAUCAGAAAAUACAGUAAAUUUGAAUGCAGUAUGAAAAAAAAACAGCUUCUAUAGGCUAAAGUGGCAAGUAUUUAGUGACCUCCCCUUACACUUGAGCAAUAGCAGGAACUUAAACCUACAUGGAAAGGAAAAGGACUGGAAGGCCAAGAAAACUUUUAAAAUCUGAUGAGAAGUUUCUCAGAGUUUCUUCUUUGAGAAACUGGAAGCAGUCCAGGAAGUCAGACUAAAUACUGAUUUUUGCUUAAAGAAGCCAUUUUGCUCUGAAUUUUUUUUUUUUUAACAUUUUGUGUACAUAUUUCCUGUAUUUAUGUUUGUAUCGUAAUAAAGAGACUGAAAAAUAAAUAUGGAUGUUAUUAAAAGAACAAAGCUUUUGGUGGCCUAAGACUUUUGCACAGUACUGUAUAUCAAUUAUAUUCAGUAAUGAUGGCGAAUAACAUAUAAGCAUUGGUUUUAAAACAAUUAUUAUAGGCCCAAUAAUCUUCACAUUUAGUCUAUAAAUGUUCAAAUAAUUCCUUUCAAACUGUUUCAUCAACAUUGCAAAAGAUGUUUUUCAGUUAUGUUUCAUCGUUUUGGCUUUUUAAAUUAAAUUGUCAUUUCUAAUCAGUUUCACAGUGUAAACUCAAUUUUUAUUUUUUCAUUCAAAGCGUGUAUUUAACACUGCAGGCACCACUUACUUAAAAAUUUAAGGCAGUAAGUGUAUUAUUAUUCAUUUUACUUAAGUUUAACUUUUUUUUUUUGGUAGAAUUGGUAAAAACUAUUUUAAGGCCAUUAAGCUGCAGGACAGACAUGUCAGACUUAAGUUGUAUGCUAGUUAAAAAUCACAAAAUAACUUUAACACCAAAGUUGCGACAUGUAUCUCCCAUCUUAAAGAUUUUGAAGAUAUUUUGAGAGUGAGUUAAAAAAAACUUCUUUUUACCUUUGAUAUUAUAUUUACACUUGAAUUCAAGUAAAUACUCUUGUUUUCUGAAUAAUUGUUGGUUUGUAAAAAACUGUGCCAAUUUACUCUUCUGACAAAUGAAGCCAAGCAACCGCCCACAAUCAAAAAUAAUGUAUUUGGCACAUUUGGUCAACAUAAUGUGACAAUUGCCUAGUUACCGCAGAGUUCAAGUAUAUGCGCACAGUCUAUAUGGCCUCAAACGGAAGCCUUUAACGGCCUCAUUCAUGACAUGCAGACAUGAAGUCAACACUAAUCCAAUGACAAGACUUGAUAUAAUAUUAAAUGCUUUUAUGUACAACAAAAUUCUGAUUUGCAAAAAUCAGCUCGUUACAAAAAUCUAACAAUGUAAGAAAAUUGGGUUUUGACGAUUAAGUGUAAAUAAGCAUGAAAGCUUUAGAAAUUGGACAUUUUAAGAAGCUAUAUGAGCAAAUAUGAUGCAAGACGCUGAGAAAGAAAUGCUGAAACAAUUAAUUAAUUUUUAACUCAGUGGUUUCACACAAUGUGCAGUCGAUACCUUAAGGAGAUCAUUUGACACUUUGAAUUAAGUUUUUUGGUGUAACAAUAGAGUCAGGUUGAUUUGGUCAUAUUAAAUAAUAUUUUUGAAUAAAUUAGACCAGUUCAAUGAGAUUUUACCACAUUUUUUAGGCUAUCUCACAAAAAUUGGACCGCACACAGUAACAUCACACAUUUCCAUACAUCAGUUGUGCAUCUUUGAGUGACUGAUAUUACAUAAAGACAUAUUUCACCAAAAAAGAAAAAAAAAGAAAAAAGAAAAAGAUAAUUCAGUCAUCAUUUACUCAUCUGCAUGUCAUUCUAAAUCUAUAUAGUUAUUUUGUUUGUUUGCAGACCACAAAAUGAUAUUGAUGAUAUUGGAUAUUUAUGAUGCUGAUUGCCAUGAACUGUCAAGCUCCACAAAUGACAAAAAAGCAGUAAAAGUCCAUUUAACAUAGUCAAUGUGACACAUGUAGUAUAUCCCAAGUCUUGACAGAUUUGUAUGCAGAUUUAGUUCUUUUAAGACAUAACUUUUGGUCUGUUCCUCACACAAAACUAUUGUCUGACUUCAGAAUAUUAGUAUGAACUACUUUUAUGAUGCAUUUAGUCAUUUUGAUGCUUAACAGCCUUUGGUCACCAUUAACUUUUAAUGUAUGGAAAGGUGCAGAGUCAACAUUUAGCUAAAUAUCUUCUUUUGCGUUCCACAGAAAGCAGAAGAAAGAAAGUUUGGAACAACAUAGGGGUGAGUAAAAAAAAUGACAGAAUUUUCAUUUUCAGAUAAGCUAACCCUUUAACAAAUAAAAACAUCCAAAUAAGCCUGUAAAGUAUCAUCAAAUACUGAUUUCAUGAAUAUUCCCCUGAGCAUUGACUCUUAGGCCUCGAUCUCACUCAUAGGCCCAUCUUUCGAUCUCUGGCUUCCUUUUCUAUGUGAUUUGCAUGUACAGUGCAGUCACAAGGAUUCUCAUAUAUUCUCAACCCACAGUACUUUUAUAUAUAGUCAAAAGAUAUUUAGAUACAACACGGCUCACGGCACGUCUUCAGUAACUCUCACAAGCACCAUUUUAGCCGGCAAAUUACGAGGCAUAGAAACCGGCUCAAAAUGGAACAAGGAAGUGGUCAGAGGCAUGUGCAGCAAAGCAUCAUGUUCAAGAGCAUCGUGCAAUGUGACAUCCAAAAGAGAGUCUGAUGAAAAAUAUAAUAUAAUAAAAUUUUCAAUAAAAUGUAAUUUACUAAGGAAAGUUCCUAUCCUUGUUAUCUUAAUAUUAAAUUAAAUUAUAAGGCUACGCACCGCAUAAGAAUAUGAAUUUGCUUAGUGAAUUACAUUUUAACGAAAAUAUUAAAAAACAAACAUAAAAUUAUAAAAUGUACAUUAUUUUUUAAAUGAUGUUUGUAAUAAAAUGUAAUUUACUAAGAAAACCUUAUGAUUUAUUAUAUUAUAUUAUAUUAUAUUAAGGACAGGAACUGCAUAGAAAUACGAAUUUGCUUAGUAAAUUACAUUAAUGAAAAUAUAUGAUUAAAAAUGUAUUGUUUACAAUCAUAAAAUGUACAUAUAUUGUAUUGUAUUAUAUUAUAUCAUACCAUUAUUUUACUAAAUGUGCAAAAAAACCAAACAAACAAACAAAAAAACAAGUUUCAGUUGCAACCAAAAAGGGUUUUACAGGCUGAUGCAAUUUCCCCAGAGAGAAUUCCGAAGAACUCAACUCAAGAACGUCAAAAAUGUUCUUCACAAGAACAACCCAAGAGCCUUUACUUUUAAGACAGUAGAAUAGAACUCUAUAAAAUAACGAAUAGAUUGUCAACAACACCCAUCAAAAUGUGGCAGAUGAAAGCAGAAAAGUUUGACUGACAGCUCGGCCUCAGCACCGGUCAAAUCUAGCAGAACCUCAAGCAAGCUAAAGGGGACACGCCCAAAGCAACCUGAUCUUUGACAGCUCCUUUACCAGAAACCGUCCGCGCCGACGUGCAUGCAGACCACUAGUAGGCAGUGUCCGCGGUCAUGUUGAGUAUCAAGGCAAAAGCCGAAGAAGAAGCACCUUGUCAUGUACGUUGUCAAAGAAGCCUACAAAUAGAAACGGCAGAGAAGCGGCAAACAGGUUACAACAUGGUGAGGCAAGUUCGCCAGGUCUUAAUUUUGAUUGACAGCUUCCUAACAAGGACAGCCUAAAGCGAAGGAGUUACGCCCUGAAGCCCCUCUCCUCUCCCAUGAUGCACCAGAGGGCAGAGGGCUGCGUGUGAUGUGUUUGUCUUUAUCUUGUUCCACCUGCACACACAGUCAGAGGGGUAUAAAUGUGACAUUACAUAUAUGAACUUUCACCAUUUCUCAUCAGGGUGGAUAUGAUGAUAAAGAGCCAUUAAAACACCUUCCUCUGUCCUCUGACUGGCUGCAUGCUAUGAAACAGACAAGAGGAAAAAAAUACAGACCUGUCAAAGUGUCAUUGUGUAUCCAGACCUGCUUGCACAUUUUAACAUGGUUCCCAAGGCAAUUGGAAUCUCAUCAGCACAGACUGUCAAAGCUUGUGUAUCUCUAAAAUGAGUUGAAUUUUCAAAGGAGGAAGCCAAGGCACAGUUUCGAGGGCCAAGAAAUGUCCAAUCACCUGGAGAGUUCCUCGGUACAUCAUUAACACAGCUGUAGCUGUGCGCAUGGAGACAAGCAACAGGCACCACAGAUAAAUAGGACGAACAUAGCUGACCAGUUGGACAUGGAAACCAAAAGUACCUCAUUGUCGGCAUACCUCAGAAAACCAUUCAACAAAAACCAGAGGCAGUCAUUAAAAUUCCAGAUCAAAGGAUACAUUCAUGUCAACUCCAUCAUUCCCUGCACAACGACAAAACCUUAUUUAUGUGUGGCGUUAAUCAAGAUGCGCAAUCCAACAAUGCAUUCAAACAUCAACUUCUAGAUCUUCUAGGACCAAAGAAAUGGAGAAAGAGCAAUUGAAUGUGAAAGAAAGAAUGAGAGGCAAAGAAUACACCACAAGGGAUUCAUCUUGAAUGCACUUUGAUGUAUACAUCUAUUUUUAAAUAUAUACAUACUAUUGCGCUCUCCUGGGCUGCACUAUAAUAUUCCUGACCAAACAGCAAACAGCAGGUAGGCUAGCAGACUCUCCAGAGGUAUUCAUCUUCUAUAUCUUCUGACAAGGCAGCUCUACUCAUUCAGUUCUUCCCCAUUUCUCUCUCUAGUAAAAGGUGGAAUCUGCCUGUCAAAAGCAAGCAUACAGUACAACAUACACACAUUAUUCUUUAUUUAUCUGUAGAAAGUAAUUCAUACACUUUCUAUUGAUCAUUAGAAAUUCGAAGUGUCAGAUAUGGAUAUAAAUAUUGAUUUUGCUACAAUUCAGAAAAUGAAACUUGGAAUACUCAACAACCAUUCAGAAUCAAGAAUUAAUCACAGCAUAAUCCUGCUAAUAAUGUGUAUUUAAUGUAUUUACUUUUACAGAAAAUAACUGCAAUACUACAGGUCUUUACACCUGGUAUUAAAAUGUGUUUUGGUCGAUCGGUUCACAAGUGGACGCCGCUAAAUACAGGUGUAAACGGGGUCUAAAACGUUUUGAGCUUGUCCACUUUCAACCACUUCCAGAGGCAGUCGAACUGGAUUGCUUUUGUAGUGUAAACAUUCGAACAGCCACAAAAGACCAUCUAACUCCGCCUUCUGAACUAAUGCGUAAACAUUGUGAGAAGUGCGCUAGUCAGAUGGGAUUUAAACUUUGUUGGCUGAAUACCUCUUUGUUUGGCUUAAAGAUUAAAAAUGUACCAAACACAAUGUUCUCUCACCAUUCCUGAUUUCCAGCACCGUGUCUACAACGUACGUGAGCGGCGCGAUGCGACGCGUCAAAAGACAAUAGAACCCAUUAUAAUCAGUGAUAAUGUCUACACUGGAUGCAGCGUGAAUUCCCGACAGUAAACGGAUUCCCCGUUCUAUUUCUGACGUAGUCCAAGUGCUUUGCAACGGUCGGCUUGUCACGUUCAGUGUAGACAGCUUUUAGCUGUUACGGCGCAGUGCGAUGUGACGCAAUAAAAAAAAUCGCGUCUGGUGUAGACAUGGUGUAAGACACACUCACAUGGUCUUGCGUCUGUCAGAGCAGAAAUGAAAGCUGCUGCUCUCCGUAUGUUUUUCCGUUGUCUCCGGGUGCGUUCAUAUGUAAAUUGCGCAAUCUUAUUUCAUCCAUUACAUCGAAAGAUCUGAAAAAGGCCAUACUUUUACCAGCCCAUAGACUUAAAAAAAUCAGGACAGAAGUGGUUGAAAGUGGACAAAAGAAAACACCAGGUGUAAAUGGGAAAGUGUCUCCCUUGUCUACUUGUGAUCCGAUCGACCAAAACGCAUCUCAAUACCAGAUGUAGACAGGACCUAUGGUUAGAUGAAGAUACUUCAAAAACAAUUCCAAGACCUUCCAAACCGUACAUGCUUGCUAUAAAAUGUUUUAAUCAGUAAAAUAAGACAUUAUUGCCAACAAAAUAAGUGAGGUACUGGGAGACAAUUCCCUGGCUGCCCAAAGGAAUUGGUAAUAAAAAGCUCCUGGUGGAUGACCUAUCAGAGAUGAAAUGAGGUAAUGAGGUACUGCUAAAGAUUAGUGUAAACUAAUGUGUUUGUUCUUUGUCAUGGCUAAAGCUAAUAAACAUCAGCGUAUGGUAUCAGCUUGAUUAGCAUGUGAAACAUACUGAAUUCUUAUGUUUUUAGCCAGGGAAAAAGGUUUAAGCUGCAUUACAUUGAAUUUGACUUGCAAAUCUCAAAAUAAUACUAGAAAAAUCACUGUAUGUAGUUUUUAUUGUCUGGCCUUGUGUAUUUCAUAAUUAUUACUGUAUAUCCCAAUUAGAUACACUAGGAAAUAAGUUCACAUAUUAAAACACCUAUUUAACGACAUCAUUACAAUAAGGACAAUAAUAAGGAGCAAGGCCUACAUCAGAAACUUGGAACGGCAAAGCAUUCCCCCGAGGAAAUAUCUUUUUUUGGAAAGAUACAUUGGCUGCACCCCAGAGACUUGGCUCUCAAAAGCUAGCCACACACAGUAUGCAGCCUUUGUUCCACUGAAAGCAUUUGUCUUCAGUGCAGUGCAAAGAAGAGGGGUUAAAAUCCAAUUCAAUCGAUAUCACUGGAGACGUACAGAUACAAACAGAGGUCCUUACCCCUCCCUUCACCAGCUGAAAGUUAAAAUAGAAUAAAAUGUUGAAAUGCCUUUGAAGUUUCAAUACUAAACCCUGAGCAAGUCAAUACUCACCGUAUUGUUACAGAUACCCAGAACAUUUCUAGAGAAAUCCACAGAAAAACAAUGACAGUUCUACCUAAAUAUUCACAUUGAGAUGUUAAUUAUUGGCUGCUUGUACAAGGUCAUGCAUUUCUGAACAAUAAAUAGUAUUUUAAACAUUUGGUGGGGCUUAUCAAGGACUUUCGACUGUUCAGCGAAAGUAAGGGAAGGUGGUCCAUGUGAGGGUGUUGCAUUACAAUCCAAGGCAGAGAAGGUGUAUAAAUAAGAUGACUGUCCCACCACCAUGACCAAAACCCCCCGUUCACCCUCCAUUCUCUUAGCCUUUACCACCUUCCCUCCAGGUUAACUCUGUGCAUCCUAGCUAAUGAGGAGUUUCCGUGGCCUGCUGAGCUCCCGGGAUGGGAUGGAGCUUACCCCCGGUGUGGGACUGGGGGAGCGGGACGGUAGAGCACCGGUGUCAGCCUCUGCUUCACUGCACAUACAUCAUGCCGGUCAUUAGCGGAGGAUCAGGCUGGACCUUUGGCCAGUGCGCCACUGGCGGCAGGGAGGGGAUGGCCAUAAAAAACCCCAGGCUCUGUCACUCAUUGUCACUUAAAGUGAGAAUUUAUCAGGGCCUCUGCCUGCGCGCCGAUGAAUAAUGAAUGAGGUUCUGGAGCUUUGCCUUGACGCUCGGGUGCUAAUGGGGCCGGAAAGCUGCGGCAGGACCAUCCUUUGUGCCGGGAGGUUGCACUGUCAGGGUACGGACUGGCCUCUAUUGGUGGCUGAGCCUGGCCAUAAUAUCACACAUUUACAGUGAGGUAUGCCCCUUCUUCUCUUGAUGUACAUGCCUGGAGCACCUUCUAGACCCUGGGUAGUCCAUUCUGUAACACCAAAAGUGUUAGGAAGUUUAACACCAGUGCCUAUUUAAGAAGCAUAAGACCCUCGGUUUUGGAAGUGUCAGAAUUCUUGUACAAGUAGUGCAUGUUGACAUUCCCUUGCGUUAUUUGGCACAAGACUGGAUGAAUGUUGUUAUUUUGACAAAGCUGCUUAGGGUGGCCUUAGAAGAGUUAAAACUUACCCUUGACUAUAAAUAUAGAAGCUCUUUUGCCUUCAAAAUUUGGAUUCAGGGAAGAGAAGUUGAUCCCUCACUGGGGCUUUAGCAUAGACUCAUGAAGACCAGCAUAUUGCAUCAUUUGUAAGUAUCCUCUAAUGAAAGAAAGCAAGUUUAGUUGUAGGGCAAAGACAUGGUUCAUAUCCAAAGAGAAACUAUAAAAAAUAAGGUUAGUUUAUUUAUUCUUGUUAAUUCAGAACAAGCUUGAGAUAAGAUGAACACAGCUGACAGCUCAGGACCUUUGUAUAACCGAAGAAGCAGAUAAAAAAAAGAUGUAGGCACUUCAGAAUCUAUAAAUGAUAUCCCUACGCAACACUAUCAACCUUGUUUUGCGUGUAAACCGUGUGAAAUGCGAUCCAGCGUAGUGCAGGAAAUACUAUCACAAUCAAAACGUGUGGAGUUAUGCACCAUAACUUCUUGCGAGGAAAGUUUGUGUUUUCUGGACCGAAAAGGACUGUUCAGUUUACACACUUUUGAUACUGUAACUUACCAUAAAACUCUACGCUCUGAUGAAAUAAAGAGUUCAAAAUCAGUCUUAAAAGUCUGGGAGCGAAAGAGUUUUUGAUUUAUUCAGAGAAAGAUUUUGGGGCGAAAAAAAGAAACAAUAAACAAGCGAACAUUCUGAGCUUCUGCCACACUUUCUUCCUGUCAAGUCUCUGAGAACUUUCAGCUAAUUACGAGCAAAGCCCCACACCACAGAGAUCUUGCAUCCGUCGCUGUCUGAGGAUGACAAAAGGCUUAGAGGGGGCAAGAAACAAACAAGCCCCAGAAUAAGAAAAAGGCUUUCCAGCUAGCUGCAUGGGCGACAGCAACAUCUAAUCAGUUGAGUUUUUUUUCAGCACUGCCUUCAGCGUCGCAUCGAAGGCGCUGUUCCUCUGAUCAGUGUGCGAAGGGGCUCUCCCACUGCGCCAGUCUCCUGUCCUCUGAACCACGGGUCAGUCCUUGGUGAGUAGCCUUGCUCCUCCGUCUACUUUAUGGUGGUGCAUCUCGUCUUCAUUACCAUGCAGAGUCGCAUGCCGGGGGUAACUGCACCCCAGGACUGCCUGGAGGGGCUGCGCUCUAUCCGGCCUCCAUCGGGAACUCCCUCGCUGCUGGUUGCCGCCGAAAUGGGAGCACAGAAUGGAAACGCAGUGCAUUAAGUGACUCCGUGCCUCAGGGUCAGAGAGGAGGCGACGUGGCAUCUCCGCCGAGCGAUCGUAAACAAGCAGAGGAUGUUAGAUCUCUUCAUCCUAUUCAAAUGCUUUAUUAUGCUGAUUUUUGAGCAAACUGUAAACUAAUCAGGGCAACUUUUUCCCGUUCUCGCAUGCACACAGGGGAAAUUGUCAGAAAGGUUAGGUGCUGAGAGUCGAUUCUGGUGCCUCGCCUACAAACUUUGCACUCUCUGGAUCAUUUCAAACAAACAUGGAGAGUCCGAGGCUCUGUUGCGGUGGAAGAGAUUUCAUGCAGCAUACUUAAUUGGAAGGGGGGUUGGUGGACCAUUGCGAGAAAUAUUCACAUUCAGUAUGCUCAUUGGGACCGAAGUUGUAAAUAGUUAAUUAUGACUCUGUAUGCAAAUGCUGGCCUUUAAAUGAAUUCAAGGAAUAAUUUCCAUGUUCAUGUAUUUGCAUAAAUGCAUAUUACAUGCAUUUCACACUCAACACCUCAAAAUGUCAUAAAGAGUGAUAAAAAUUUUAGUUGAAAUCCAAACUUAACUUGCAGUACCUCAUACAGUUCACAGAAUGGACCUUGAGAAUUUCACAUCAGACAAAAAAGAUUUGACGUUUAUCUUCAAACACUAAAGGUGUCAGUUUUAGUUUUCAUUAGAAAACAAAAUGUAAUAAUAUUAAUCUUUAUAUACAUUUACAGUUACAAUUAAGUAAACAAAAUUGCCCUUAUAUCCCAUCAUAUUCCACCAUAUUCCAAAAUAAAAUUCUGAAUAUCUUUUAUCAUUUCCUAAAAUACAAAUAUUUUAACACAACUGUUUCAUUGACUAUUAAUAUUUGAAAAUCUGUCAAACCAAACUCAUGUGGUUCAACCAACAUGCAGGAUAAAAAAAGUUAUAUAAAAUAUAUAUAUAUAUAUAUAUAUAACAAACAAACAAGAAAUAACCAAAUAAAACAAGAACAGAUAUCUAGGAAAUUAUACAUCACUAUAAUUUUACAUAGUAAUUUCAUAUUUUCUAGUAUGAAAAGUAUAAUAUGAAUAGUAUGCAUGUUUUAAAACCAUUAAAAAUCAAUGUGACUAGAACUUUGUUCAUGUGUUUUAAUCAAGACGUUCAUAAAAGAUUUUUGGACGCUCGUAUUUGUCGUAACAGAAGGCCACCAGAACAUUAUUUUAGCACAUAAAGUGAUCCCACAACCGGCUACAAUCCCAACAAACGAUUGGUGCAAAGAAACUUUCGACCAAUUUUCAAUGGCAUCUGACCCGACAAAUACACUUGCAGUGGUCCUUCACAAAUUCUUCACAAAUCACCAACUGCAGUGAAGAUCCAACACAUUAUUGUUAUCCUUAUUCCUGGUGGGCUGGUCUAAAGACAAAGCCUGAGCUCUGGCUGACAAGAACAGGUAGAGAGGAAGCAGGGGAGGGAAGGAGGGCGGCUAGGACGACUGUGUUAAUUGGACUUUACAGUAACAGUGUGACAGGUGUUGUUUGGGAAAAAAAAAACUCGGCGAGAGUUAGAAAAAGAACACACCGAGCCGUUUGUCAGGAAAAGGCAGCUCCAUCCUCCCGCAACCGUUUCCCUUGCCGUUUUCCCUCAAAAUGAAUGCUGUCUGCUUGUUUAUCGCCGACAGAACUCCAGGCCGGCAUCCUCACACUUUUUUUUUUUUGGCCCAGCCACAUGGAGGUGGGGCUAAGCCUCAUCUUUAAGCACUCCCUCUGAUAGAAGCCCACGUCAAGAGUAGUCCCACACGAUGCCCCCACCUUCAUGAUAGAUAUGCCAUACUUGUCAUUUAGAAGAGAAAAAUGAGGUGUUUUCACAGAUGCAGGCAGGUCAUGCCACUUUGUUGUUUUGUUGCUGUCAGAGCAAACCACUUUUUAAAACACAGGAUGUCUUCUCUUGCGUUAAAGCUGUCAACAAAUAGAGCUCAACAGCUCGAUCCCAACAUUCUCUCUGAGCAAAGGAAUUUGUCCAAAACAGAUGUUUCACCUCUAAAUAUAUAUAUACACCCUAUUGCUGUUGCUUGUGAUGGAGUACAUACAAAGUAAUUUCGCUCUGCGAGGGAAAGGUUGUCGGUACAAACUUCAGCUGCAUUGCCGUCAACUCCAAACCACCUUGAACGUGGUGUAGAUGUAUUUGUGAUUUCAAAGCUGUUUUCUUCUCAACGAAGGACACACAAGGUCAUCAGACAAUGAAAAGCAUCUCGGCGGUGACUCUGCCGACAAUUUCAGCCUUCCCUGCAUCGCAGCCUGUCUUUCUUCUCGUAAUGACCGGAGACCAGCGGUACAGCCUCCGCUGGCAUGCAGUACAGAGGAAAGCGUGGGAACGUACAGGCAGACGUGGGCUUUUGCUUCAGCGUGCAGCGAGGCCACAGGUUUAUGCAGGAAUGCCUGUGGUCGCAUGCUCGCCGCGUAAAUCAAGGCUCCAAAACAGAGCAUUUCAUUCAGUGAGGUUGGGGAGGCAAAGCUCAGAGGACGCCUGCAUCUGGUAGCGUUUUUGAUUUACUAGGGACCUGCACAACAUUACAGCACUGGAAAACGGUGGGAGCCCGAGUCCAAAGGGCUCCAAUGUGUAGGCGAACGCAGUCUAAAGGAUUCGGUCGUAGUGGUUGGCAUCCAGGAGUGCUCUGCCAUUCCACAGGAUAUGAGGCAAUGAGCAAAUGCGCUGGCUUAAAUGAGUUUUUCUGUACGAAUCUGCUAGGAAAAAAACCCCCAAACCUUUCAAAGGGAGCAGAACUCAUGUCAGAGCAGUUAGGGUAAUAACACUUGAAAGAGAAUAUCACAUUAUCACAUCUGACAUGUUUAUGACAUGGCAGCACAAUACGUUUUCCAUAAUCAUUCUGCAUAACAUCUUGUUUGUUGCAACAAGCUCAUUUAUCAUAAAGUUUGAACAUAUCCAGACAAGAUUGUCCUUAAUUCAAAAUCAACAUAAAUGCAAAUAAUGCAAAUGAUUCAAAUCCCUUAAAGAAUGUAAACAAAAUGAUGAGGGGAAAGAAAUUAUUUCAGUUCCUUGAUAAAGGAAGUAAAUAAAUACAAAAAGUGAUUAUUUGAUCCAGGUUGAAUUCAAUUUAGAGGAUAUCUUCAUCAAGACAAAAACUAGAACUAAAACAAAAUUAACAUUAAUCGGUUAAUUACUUGUAUUUUCCUACUCUGAUGAAACUGCAAGAAUGACUACAGUAAUUUAAAAAAGCAUUAUAAACCUGAAGGAAAUAACAGAUAAAAUCCUAAUAACCAAAUAUGUAUGAUCAGUUAAAUGUAUUGCAGACUUAAUUUGCAUUAAAAAAAUAAAUAAAAAAACACACAUCAGUGAUGCACCACUAUACGUACAGCUUACAGGAUGAACCCUGUAUCUCUUGGUAAUUAUUUUUCAGACUCAGAAUGAUUUUAAUUACUUUACACUCCAGAUUGGAGUCCAAAAGAAAAUAAUGGCAAACAUUCUCUCUUUUCAUGCUUACUCAAGCAAGUCUAUUUACUGUUUUUUUUUUCUUCUCCAUUCACAGCUUGAUGGAGGGAGGCAACAGGAUGGGAUGUGACAUUUUGGUUGGAAAGGCUUGAGAAUUCAAAGCAGCUGUGGGUAAAAACCACCUGUAAAGACACUCUCUGGAUCAGAUUUCUUUUGAAACCUCAACCUAGCAUUUGUUUCCAAUAGUUAGCUUGUGAAAAACCCCAAAAGUUUCUAGAGAUGCUUCCUUGGCCAAGCAACAAGAGCUAAAAAUACCAGGAGAUGCUAUUCAAAUGUUUAUGGGUCCCGCUCAGAGGGUAGCCUUUUUUUUUCCACUUUGUUAAGGUUCACCACAGAUGACCAUGUAUUUCCCCAUGCUUCCUCUGAAAAAAAAAAAAAAAAAUCCAUAAUACAUGGACAACAGUACUGUAUGUGCUUAUGUGUGCAUAGUAUUCCUAAAACUGUCAGUUCAGUCAUCGAAGUAAAUAGAAGAAAUGAAAACAACAGGCCUUUUUUUGAUUUACCAUGAUUUUUAAUGUAAAAUUUAGUAUGAUUUUAAACAUUAAGUCAGAAAAAAAGUGAUUAAAAGUUAAUGCUUUGGAUUUUGUUAGUCACCAUGAAAUCAAAAUGGACAAUUCUUACUUUUUUACAGAUUGUUGCAGUUUAUUAUAAAUGAUUUUUCCAUACACAUUCAUUAAAAAAAAAAAAAAAAAUUCAUAUGCCCUCGUAAUCUUUAAUCAAAAACGUUAACCUCGAAACGACGUCUUUUCUCUUCAUGCCGUGUCUCUCGGCGGAGGGUGGGACUAAAUAUCCUCCAUAACUGACUGCAAACUGGCAAUCAAGAUCUGCAUUCAUUUAGUUAGCAACGCCCAAUUUUCUACAAUCAAAUCAAUUCCCAAAGGAUGAAAUCAAACCCCGCUCUACAUUACUUCUCAUACCAAAAGAUGUUUUGAAGUAUUAGUUCACUUUAAAAUGAAAAUUACCCCCAAGCUUCACUCCCCCUCAAGCCAGGUGUAUUUGACUUUCUUCUUUCUGAUGAACACAAUCAGAGUUAUAUUAAUAAAUAUCCUGAUGCAUCCAAGCUUUAUAAUGGCAGUGAACGGGGCCAACGAGUUUGAAGCCCAAGAAAGUGCAUCCAUCCAUCAUAAACGUACUCCACACGGCUCCGGGGGGUUAAUAAAGGCCUUCUGAAGCGAAGCGAUGCGUUUGUGUAAGAAAUAUAUCCGUAUUUAACAGGUUAUAAAGUAAAAUAUCUAGCUUUCGCCAGACCGCCUUCUGUACAACUAAAGAAAAAAAAAAGUGCAAAGUGCAAAACUCUCACAGUUCAAAAUGCUAACGCGACAUCCUACACCUAGGAUGGCUUGAGGGUGAGUAAAGCUUGGGGUUAUUUUUCAUUUUAAAGUGAACUAAUCCUUUAAUCCCAAAGUAUACUUCAGCCGCCCGCAUUCCGUGAGGGUCAAUGCACUGUCCGCGUAACGUAAUUUUCGUUAUCAGGAGGGUCAAUGGACGUCCGCGUGCAGCCCAAUUUUUGCGUCUGCGCAGACGUUGCGUGUACAACAGAGCAUGUGUGACUUGAGCGCUUAAAAAAAAAAAAAACAAAACAAAAAAAAAAAAAAAACAUCCACGCUCAUGGAUUAAACAAAGUCCACGAAUGCAUCUUUCUGCACUCAUGGCCAAAGGAGUAUACUUUGAAAGGCUCACACACUUGACUGUGCGCGAGGAGGAGUGGAACACGGAAAAUAAAGUAUGCGGGGGCUUUUACUCAGAUAUAUUCCUCACAAUAGAAAAGACUAUCUCAACUUCCAUUUCAUGCCGACUUUAAGAUAAAUUAUCACAUUUUAAUAUAUGUUAGAAAAUAAUUACACCUUCAAAAAUGCAAAAGGGUUGAGGGUAAUGGGUUUGACAUUUUUACGGUAUCAUUUGUAGUGAAACAACCUUUUCCUUCUUAGAAAAUGGGAUAUUUUUACAAAUUCUACCAUUAUAUUAUCAAUUGUUUACUAUAUAAAAAUUGGCAACAGUUGACAUUAAGGGUGGGGGGGAUCGAUACAGCAUAGUAUCGCAAUAUUUUUCAUGUAUUUAUUUUAUCGCUAUUCAGACGCCAAGUCUCGAUAUUUUCAGGGAGUGAAUUUCGAGGGUGAAGAAGGAUAGUUAAAACACCCUGCAUCAUUUCCUGAGAGCUCAUCUGUUACAUUACUGUUACAUACAGUCGGCGAUACUGGUUAUACACUCUUUUGAAAUCAAACUUAUGUUUUUGUGUACAUCCAGUGCCCAAGUUAUACGAUGUUAAUGGAAAAUGUAUGUAUUUUCCUAUAACAACAGUCAAACAGUGUAAAACUGCUUGUAAAACAAAUGCACUGAAUUGAGUGUGAAAACAGAAAUGCACAAACAUUAUUGUUUGACAACUCCAGUUUAAUGACAAACAAAACAGUAUAAAUUAAAAUGACAUACUUUCAGUAACUGAAGUUUUCAAGGAUGAUGAUUUCAUUAUGACAAAGUUUUUAAAAAAUGAAUAAAAGGGAAAAAAUAAAAUAUAUGUAAUAAAAAAGGCAAAAUGUUAGCUUUUAUUAACAUAUCUUUUUUUUUUUUUAAAUAAAAAAAUAUGCUUAUUUGCCAAUAUAGCAAGGUGAAGUUAAAAACAAAGGAGUGGGAAGAGAUAAAAAAGAAAAAAAAAUUGUUGAUGCAUGUAGAAAAAUGUCUAUAGCAACACAAUAAAAGCUGGAAUCAGAUAUUCAUUGUUAAAGUCAUUUUACCACGCAUGUAUAUGAGGGAACGCGUUUUGUAGAAUGACCCAAUAAAGAACAAAAGGAAAGUAAAAACAGAAUCAUUAACAAUACAUAAGGCAGAGUUUACUCGCUGUUGUUCUUUUUUCCUCAGAAACCGCAGUUCUAAGAUAUUGCCAGAUAUAGCAUUUUGGAGAAAACUUUUCAAAUAAUAAAAAAAAAAGAGCAACGGUUUGAAUGGUGGAUGUUUGGAGAUCAUCCCUUGAUAAUUCUCUUCCCCUCACAAACUAAUUGGUUUAAAGUUGCCAAGCAUGCGCCACAAGCUAUUUCAAACCUGCAUGCUAUUGAUAUUUCAUGUUUCAAAGCACAAAUCCUUUCAAUAAAGAAAAAAAUCCUGAGAUGCGCUAGCUAUUUUCCUCCAUACGUGUCCACUGGGGGAAACGAACACUGAAGAACCCGGAUUCUGUCUACUUGUUUUUUGUUGUUUUUUUGCCCCAACUAUGACUUAUUUGUUGUCCCUGCUGCACUCGCAGCUCCAAACUUGGACAAAGUUUGGCUCAAAAGCUGACACUCUCUGCUGACCACACAAUCGGCCAAUAAAGCGUCAGCUUCCCGGCCACUUCAAACGGCAGGAACAAGGCGAAACUCGCCUCAAGAACCAGACCUAAAGAGAAACGGCACGUUUCUCUUGCCGAAAUACUGAAAAAAAAAAAAAAAAAAUCUAUGAAAAUGCUGCCAGCAGCUGAAUCUGCUGCCAAUGCAGAAGGGACACGUUACAAGUGCUGGUCCCUCUGGCAACAGACAGAUAUAGAGAGCUGAACCAAGCACCUGGAUCUUAAGGAAAGAGAAUAUAUUUGGCCUUGGUGCAAAAGGUAAAAACAUCUGAGUCAGUUCGGCUUCUGUAGUGACAUCUCUCAGUGUCUGUGCAGUCUGCCGACAAAGUGUAAAACGGAUCAGUGGGUCACAACUAGCAUACUGUUCAAUAACAGGCCUACACUACUUUGGAACAUGUUUUGCGAACAGCGAACAAAAAAAUCUCAAUUUCUUCAGACUGACUGAUGCAAUUGCUGGGCGUUAGGAAAUACAUCAUGCUUUCGCAAAAUUAGCAGAACUUUAGGCCUUUCCAGUUACUUCUGUAUCAUUUUGCUAAUUAAUUAUUCACAUAGAUUUAAGAACCUAAUCAAAUUCAAUGGGAAAAAAAUGUAAUGACUCAACAGAAGGUUUCCGAACAACUCAAACUCUAAAAACAUACAUAUACAACUCUAAUACAUAGCUGUUUAAAUAUAAUUAAAUAUUAAAUAGAGUGUAACUACAGUACUGUUUAAAAGUUUGGGGUCGGUAAGAUGUAUAAAGUCUCUCUUAUGCUCAAAAAUGUGCAUUUAUCUGAUCAAAAAUACAGUAAAAAUAGUAAUAUUGUGAAAUAGUCUUCAGUGUCACAUGAUCCUUCAGAAAUCAUUCUAAUAUGAUUUGUUGCUCAAGAAACAUUUAUUAAUCUUAUCAAUGUUGAAAAUAAAUGUAUUACUCUUACUUUUAAUUAAUUUUAAUGCAUCCUUGCUGAAUAAAACGUAAUUUCUUUUAAAAAUUUGGACCCCAAACUUUUGUACGGUAGUGUAUAAUCAUUAUUGAAAAUUAAAAAAAUGUCUCACUUUUUUUUUUUUUUUUAAUUCCCAUGACACUUCUAGGGCUAGAAAAUACUGAUAUUAUAAUUAUCUGAUAUUUUCCAGAUAUUUUUCCAGGUUUCCAAUGACUGAAUUAAUAAUAAAAAAAAUAGCUUAUUUGCUCUUUAAUUCUCAUAUUGAGUUAAAAACAGUAUAAACAGUAAAGCAAUGCCUCCCGUCUAACAUAUAUGAACUGUACAACAGAAAGAAGGUUCCACUCAGGUUUGUGUCAGUCAGUGUAAUGCAGUUAGAAUGUAUCGCCACUAGAUGGAUACCUGCAUCUGUUUUCUAAUAUAAAAACAUACACUAAGUGCACAGACAACAAAUAAAAAAAAAAAAGCCUUUCUUCAUAACUAACAUCGACACUGGACCAGUCUGGGUAAAGAUAGCAGCUUCCAAGAGGUUGGAAACGACAAGCCAGAUAUCAAUUGUGAUGUUUACUUAAGUUUGUUUUCAUUGUUGUGGCAGUUUCAAGGGAGCAAUUUCCAGUGAUGAAAUUGAACCGCUCUCCUUGAGGAAUUCAUUAGAAUGAGAGAAAAUAGUCCCCUUGUCGAUGUCUUUCCUGGAGGGAAUAAGCCGGACGUGGACCCUGGGGCACGAGCGCGACACACUGCCAGCUAAUAAAGCUCGGGGCUAAGUGGAGACAGUCGUUAAAAGAAUACAAAUAAACACAAGCAAAUACGAGUGGGCGACGCUUUGGGGGAUUGAUUGGCAUGUGCAAUUAAAAAGACUCUGAAAGCAGCACAAAUAGAGUUUUAUAGUUAAACAGUUUCAAUUUUAUGCUAAUUUUGCGAAUGCUAAACGGCCAUCAAACUUUAAUAAAUAAUCAAAAACACCAGAGUAAAUGGUUUAAGUCAUUUCAUUUUAUUUAUUUUUUCAUUUCAAUUAGCAUAUAAAGAAUUAAUGUGCAUCUUGAAUGUUAAACAUGUUCAAAUAAACCGUCAAAAAAAAGACAAAUAAAUAAAAAGUUGCCUUUCCUUCCCCCUCCCAAAGGAUUUGGGUGAAAGUAGAGAGAGUACAGUCUGGCAGACCGUGAGCGUCCGAUUCAUGUGUGCUUUACCGCGGUAAAGGAUCCAGAUCUCGCUGGAGAAGGCUUGUUGAGAUAAAUACAUACUAUCAUCUAUAAGGCAACAAGCAUAAUCUGUUAUCGUGUUAACAUAAGGCGAAAGAAAAAGGUGAUUAUUGCAAAAUACAUUAAAAAAGAAAAAGGUAAACACUAAAAA
Long non-coding RNA from Ctenopharyngodon idella (grass carp), 20694 nucleotides. RefSeq lists it as uncharacterized. The transcript has 5 exons. Lineage: Eukaryota; Metazoa; Chordata; Actinopteri; Cypriniformes; Xenocyprididae. The record is from RefSeq and is a predicted model, not a curated record.